CAGGCCUAACACAUGCAAGUCGAACGAAGGCUUCGGCCUUAGUGGCGCACGGGUGCGUAACGCGUGGGAAUCUGCCCUUGGGUUCGGAAUAACAGUUAGAAAUGACUGCUAAUACCGGAUGAUGACGUAAGUCCAAAGAUUUAUCGCCCAGGGAUGAGCCCGCGUAGGAUUAGCUAGUUGGUGGGGUAAAGGCCUACCAAGGCGACGAUCCUUAGCUGGUCUGAGAGGAUGAUCAGCCACACUGGGACUGAGACACGGCCCAGACUCCUACGGGAGGCAGCAGUGGGGAAUAUUGGACAAUGGGCGAAAGCCUGAUCCAGCAAUGCCGCGUGAGUGAUGAAGGCCUUAGGGUUGUAAAGCUCUUUUACCCGGGAUGAUAAUGACAGUACCGGGAGAAUAAGCUCCGGCUAACUCCGUGCCAGCAGCCGCGGUAAU
This 435-nucleotide ribosomal RNA is filed under the name uncultured bacterium. RNAcentral's name for it is "bacterial SSU rRNA". It matches the Rfam family "Bacterial small subunit ribosomal RNA", at positions 43 to 524 of the family's 1533-position model. The record is from RNAcentral.